This 405-nucleotide ribosomal RNA is filed under the name uncultured Olsenella sp. RNAcentral describes it as "bacterial SSU rRNA". It matches the Rfam family "Bacterial small subunit ribosomal RNA", at positions 356 to 774 of the family's 1533-position model. The record is from RNAcentral. Lineage: Bacteria; Bacillati; Actinomycetota; Coriobacteriia; Coriobacteriales; Atopobiaceae.
GGGGAAUCUUGCACAAUGGGCGGAAGCCUGAUGCAGCGACGCCGCGUGCGGGACGAAGGCCUUCGGGCUGUAAACCGCUUUCAGCAGGGACGAGGCGAAAGUGACGGUACCUGCAGAAGAAGCCCCGGCUAACUACGUGCCAGCAGCCGCGGUAAUACGUAGGGGGCAAGCGUUAUCCGGAUUCAUUGGGCGUAAAGCGCGCGUAGGCGGCCAGCCUGGUCGGGAGUCAAAUCCGGGGGCUCAACCCCCGUCCGCUCCCGAUACCGGCCGGCUUGAGUCUGGCAGGGGAAGGCGGAAUUCCCGGUGUAGCGGUGGAAUGCGCAGAUAUCGGGAAGAACACCGGUGGCGAAGGCGGCCUUCUGGGCCACGACUGACGCUGAGGCGCGAAAGCUAGGGGAGCGAACA